CACGUAGGCAGUCCGGCAAGUCGGAUGUGAAAGCCCUCGGCUCAACCGAGGAAGUGCAUUCGAAACUACCGGGCUUGAGUACCGGAGAGGGUGACGGAAUUCCCGGUGUAGAGGUGAAAUUCGUAGAUAUCGGGAGGAACACCAGCGGCGAAGGCGGUCACCUGGACGGAUACUGACGCUGAGGUGCGAAAGCGUGGGGAGCAAACAG
RNAcentral lists this ribosomal RNA (208 nucleotides) under uncultured delta proteobacterium. RNAcentral describes it as "partial 16S ribosomal RNA". It matches the Rfam family "Bacterial small subunit ribosomal RNA", at positions 568 to 775 of the family's 1533-position model. The record is from RNAcentral. Lineage: Bacteria; Deltaproteobacteria.